This is a long non-coding RNA of Alligator mississippiensis (American alligator), 2862 nucleotides long. RefSeq lists it as uncharacterized. The transcript is spliced from 2 exons. The record is from RefSeq and is a predicted model, not a curated record. NCBI's taxonomy places the organism in Eukaryota, Metazoa, Chordata, Crocodylia, Alligatoridae.
AGAGGGAUUCGCAGGGAGGUAAUCUCCUUUGCAGCUGACCUGCCGUGUACCUUGAAGUUCUGCUCCCCUGGCGUCCUUCUAUCUGCAGGCAUUACAACAGCAGCCACAGGCCAGGAAGGGUUUUGAUUCUUUUACGUGGAAGAUCAGACGUGUGCAUUCAGCUGAGACCUUCUGUGGAAAUGCUCGUCAUGUUUCCAUCCAAAUUCUUUUGAUAUAAAAUGUCAAAAAGGCUGACCUCUGGGCUGCCAAACCCCCUACCAACAGCAGCUCUGUCUGCACCUCUCCUUGAUUCCUUUCUAAGCCAUCUCACACUUUCUCCUUUGCUCUGUGUUGCACAGCUGGGAUCACAGAUUCAAAAGUCUUCAAGUACUUCCUCCCGGACGAGCUAGGAUCUAGAGCAAUGAGCUGCCGCGGCGCAUUCUGCAACACUGGGCUCUUCUCCAGUGCCUUGUGGUUGUUUAAAUGACCUCUAAAAAGCACUUGUCUGCAGUAGCAUGUGUCCAUGGGGAUGUGAAGACGGUGAAGCCGCUCGCCUUCUGUCAAAAGCUUUUCAUGCCAAAUGUUUCACAUAUGAGAAACAAAGGCAGAAAACUUACAGCUAACUAAUGAACUGUUUUAAAAAAGUAUCAUUUGUAAAUGGAAAAAAACCCCAACCCUUAUUUGAGGCCACUUAGGGAACCACUUGAUCCCUUCCCCACUGAGCUGAGAUCCAUGGCGACGGGGUAUUGCUUUUGCCUGUGGAACACAGAAGAAGUUUGGCCCCUUGGCCCAGGAGACUCCAGACCUGUCAAGACCCAGUGCCUCCGUAAUGCAUCUGCUUGUUCCUAUCCAAGGAUUUCCCAAGCUUCUGGCACGUGACUGACUCAGCCCCUCGGCAGCCUCUGGAUGCUGGAACUCUGCCAGCCCAUGGUUUCCACAUAUUAGUCCUUUAAAGGAGACUCUAUUUUUAAAGUUUGUUCAUUACCUUUUCAUAUCAUCUUGCGACCCAGUUCUGGGUCAUGACCCUCCAGUUGAGAAUUGCUGUCCUAGGCUGUCUGGUGGCCCCGCUCAUACAGUUGGGCAAGGAUUGCUUGUGCAUUCUGGAUCAACGGCUUGUUGUCAGUCCCCAGGGAGGGGAGGACAUGGGAAAUGAAACUUGAAGUGACCUUUCCAGGUCUCACUACAGUGUAUGUGUGUCUUGAAGUUGGAUUUAAAAGCCCAGGCUUGUGCUGCAGAGCAAAGCCUGGUGGGAGGCAGAGUGCCCAUGCUGGGUCCGUCUGAGCUGCCCAGGUGGGAGAGCAGAGCUCAGUUCCCGUCUUUGGCUCAGAAGGUUCAAGCCCACAUGUCCCAGGGGGAAACUCUUUGAGAAGAUCAUCAAGGAGUACAUCUGUGAUGGGCCGGCAUCGGGGAUGAUGCUCAAGGGCAACCAGCAUGGUUUCAUUAAGGGCAGGUCAUGUCAGAGCAACUUAAUUGCCUUUUACGAUCAGGUCACAAAAGCAUUGGAUGCAGGUGUCACCGUGGAUGUAGUCUUUCUGGACUUCAGCAAGGCCUUUGACACUGUCGACCAGCACAUCCUCAUUAAAAAACUAGGGUACUAUGGCAUCGAUGCCUACAUGGUCAGAUGGAUUGCUAAUUGGCUAAAGGGUCACACUCAGAGGGUGGUGGUGGAUGGGUCAUAUUCGACCUGGGGGAAGUGGGCUGCGGAGUCCCCCAGGGCUCGGUCCUGGGGCCUGCACUGUUCAAUUUCUUUAUCAGCGAUUUUGAUGACAGGGUGAAAAGCAACCUGUUCAAAUUUGCUGAUGAUACCAAAAUUUGGGGUGAGGUGGGCAUGGUAGUAGGGAGGGAAAGACUGCAGAGAGACCUGGAUAGGUUGCAGGGGUGGGCUAACAAAAACAGGAUGUGUUUCAAUAUGGAGAAGUGAAGGUUGCUGGACUUGGUCAAUAGUAACCAGCAGCAUGCUUAUAAGAUGGGAAACUCCCUUCUUGAGAGCACGGAGGCAGAAAGGGAUCUUGGAGUCUAUUGACUCCAAGAUGAACAUGGGUCCGACAAUGCGAGGUCACGGUAGGCAGGGCUAACCGGACUCUAUUGUUUAUCCACAGGUGCAUCUCAAGUAGGGCCAAGGAGGUGAUCCUCCCCCUCUACACGACACUGGUCAGGCCGCAGCUGGAGUACUGUGUCCAGUUCUGGGCACCCCACUUCAAGAGGGAUGUGCACAACAUUGAGAGGGUGCAGAGGAGGGCCACCCGCAUGAUCCGGGGAAAGCAGGGCAGACCCUAUAAUGAGAGGCUACAGGACCUGAACCUGUUCAGCCUUCACAAGAGAAGGCUGAGGGGGGACCUUAUGACCGUCUAUAAACUCACUAGGGGGGACCAGAAGGGUUUGGGGGACCCCUAGCGCCCCCUCAGGAUAACAAGGAAUAAUGACCACAAGUUGUUGGAGAGUAGGUUUAGAUUAGACAUCCAUAGGAACUACUUCACAGUUAGGGCGGCUAGGAUCUGGAAUCAACUUCCAGGGGAAGUGGUGCUGGCUCCUACCCUGGGGGUCUUUAAGAAGCGGCUUGAUGCCUACCUAGCUGGGGUCACUUGAGCCCAGUUUCCCUCCUGCCCAGGCACGGGGUCGGACCUGAAGAUCUACAAGGUCCCUUCCCACCCUACUUCUAUGAUUCUAUGAUUCUAUGAUUCAUUGCCGAGGGGAAGGUACAUACCAGGCUGUGGCUGGCAGCAGUUUCUGCCCAAAUUGAAGGGACUGGCAUGUCAGGAAGCCAAGACAAGUUCCCAUCAGCAGCAACACAGAGCGGGGAAAUCAAUACUCUGCCUCUUUCUUCUGUUUAGGAUAGAGUUUGUUGUACCAUAAUUGAUGAGUAAAGCCACCUAUAAUUCUUUA